Nyctereutes procyonoides (raccoon dog) is the source of this 1023-nucleotide long non-coding RNA. RefSeq lists it as uncharacterized. The record is from RefSeq and is a predicted model, not a curated record. The transcript is spliced from 4 exons. NCBI's taxonomy places the organism in Eukaryota, Metazoa, Chordata, Mammalia, Carnivora, Canidae.
GCCACAGAAUGGAAGAGCGAGCAGAUGCGAGGAUCCAGGGGGGAUGGUUUCCAGGGCUCCACCUGUGUUAUCCAGAAAGCAUUCACUAAUCAACACCAUACCAUUCUGUGAGCCAGAACAGCAUGUACCUGCACUCAGGUGGUACAGGGAGAGUUGUUCCAGAUGAGGCAGAGACACAGGCAGAGGGAGAAGCAGGCUCCAUGAAAGGAGCCCGAUGCGGGACUCAAUCCCAGGAUCCCGGGAUCACCCCCCGAGCCAAAGGCAGAUACUCAACCACUGAGCCACCCAGAUCUGGUGACAUCAGUAUGAGUGUUGAGUCAGCUCAUAUGCCAUAAGCUCUUCUCUCCAAGACGGCGUGGGAGACAUCACCUGGUGGGUGGCAAAGCAGUUCUUGAAAGCCAGACGUGCGGAAAAGCACACGCAUCCCUUCUUGAGAAGCACUGGUGGACCAUUAUUACACGUUUACCUCUUAUUCCACAGAGAGCAUAUUACUGGAUCCCCCCACAACUUCCAGGGCUGCCUGCUGCUGACCCUCAGUACAACCCCAAGAGGCCUCCUCUCACUUGGCCUCUUGCCCUUGGCUCUCCAGGGCUGGAGAUUCACCUGUGUGAUUCCUGCCUCUACCGCGGUAAAUCUCUUUGAAAACUGCAGGUGCAGAGCUGUUCUCUGCAGUGACUCUGAUGUCCCUGUGCUGGCAGUCUGGAUGGGCAAGUACCAAGCUCUCUGGCUUCUUCCCUAGCAGGUAACAACCUGCUUAGAACUUCCUUCACAAUGUGGUUUAUGUAUACAAUGGAAUAUUCCUCAGCCAUUAGAAACGACAAAUAACCACCAUUUGCUUCGACGUGGAUGGAACUGGAGGGUAUUAUGCUGAGUGAAAUGAGUCAAUCGGAGAAGGACAAACAUUAUAUGGUCUCAUUCAUUUGGGGAAUAUAAAAAAUAGUGAGAGGGAAUAAAGGGGAAAGGAGAAAAAAUGAGUGGGAAAUAUCAGAAAGGGAGACAGAACAUGAGAGACUCCUAACUCUG